This 74-nucleotide transfer RNA is filed under the name Turnera subulata. RNAcentral's name for it is "tRNA-Met". It matches the Rfam family "tRNA". Rfam says of the family: Transfer RNA (tRNA) molecules are approximately 80 nucleotides in length. Their secondary structure includes four short double-helical elements and three loops (D, anti-codon, and T loops). Lineage: Eukaryota; Viridiplantae; Streptophyta; Magnoliopsida; Malpighiales; Passifloraceae. The record is from RNAcentral.
GGGGUGGUGGCGCAGUUGGCUAGCGCGUAGGUCUCAUAAUCCUGAGGUCGAGAGUUGGAGCCUCUCUCACCCCA